UAGGGCAAGACGACGUCUUUUUUAAAAGAAGUGCUUUUAUUUUAGCUGGCCCAACAACACAGUGCAGAUGGAAUUUGCAAAGCUGUGCAACUGAGUUAGAAUUUUGACUGAUUUUUAUAGUUCAUUUAUGAUUAGCUCAUUGAUCAUUAAGUACAUAGUGAUGAUAAACAGAAACAAGGUGGGCCUUUGUUCCCCUUUGCUUGAGGUCAGAGGCAUCUCACAGUGAGUGGUUAGCCAAUUCAUAGCCCUUGGUCUGCCAAUUCCAGGAACAUUUGUCUCUCAUAAAGGGAACAAUGGUUGACACAGCAUCAUUUGUCUCUUACAAGAGGAACAAAGGUUGACACAGCAAACAGGUUACUGGGAUGGGAGGGAACCACACAUACAGCACAGCAUGACAAUGCAGUCAGUUAAUCUGUAACUAUGUGGUUGGUACAUGGUUACUAGGGUAACAAGCUCAGCACAGAAUGACAAUACUGCUAAUAACUAUCUUCUUAACUAACUAUUUUUGCUAAUAACUGUCUUUUAAUUAACGAUUUUAAAUUUUUGGCAUUUUAGUACAACACUUCUCUGUUGAUCCACAGAAUUAUAUCAGAGAAUUUGAAUUUAUAACUAAUUGUUAUGGUUUACAUUUUAAGGAUAUUUAUGUGACUUUGAACUCCACCCUCAGCUCACAAGAGCAAGCUCAGCUGUGGCAAGGAGCUCGAGAAGAAGCAGAUUGGCAAAUAAGCAGAUAAGGCAAAUACCGCUGAAAAUGACCCUGGGCCUACUGCAGUCCCAGAACAAGAUCCUAACUGGAAUUACCAAAGUGGAUAAGGUUCUUAUAAAUUAUAUAAGAUGAUUGAAUGUCUACCUGUGGGCCUUAAUAAAAUUGCUCACAAACAUACUAACUAUAACAAACUUUUAGAACAGGUUCAGGAGGCUAAUGAAAAUCUAGCUGUGUCCCUAAAUCAGCUUAGGGACACCUUAAUUAAGUUUACUACUGUAAACCCAGACUCUCCUGAAAGGAUGAUUGUUGUUAACUCUUAUUUUAUUUCUCAGUCUGCUCUUGAUAUUCCUGCAAAGUUACAAAAGGCUGAACAUGGCCCUCAAACCCCACAAGGAGACCUUCUUAAUUUAGCUUUCCAUGUUUUCAACGACAGAGAAAAAACUCAAAAAGAGGAACAAAAAAAGAAAUUUGCUAAAUAUCAAUCUGAUCUCUUAGCAGUAGCACUUGGGGCUCCCAAGACAGGAAAGCCAAAACAAGGCAGAGCUGCCCAAGCCCUUCCUGGACCAUGCUUCAAGUGCAGCAAAGAAGGACAUUGGGCAAGACAGUGCCCCGAUCCUGGUGUUCCCUUGGGGCCUUGUCCCUAUUGCAAUCUCAAGGGCCACUGGAAGACCCACUGUCCUAGCCGCCAGAGGGCGGGUAAACUAUCCUCUAACUCCUUGCCCUCACAGGAGACUCCAUCACCACCAGAUUCAUCACUGACUGAUCUGCUCAGACUUGCUGCUGAAGAUUGAUGGGGCUCGGGGCCCACAGCCCCCAUUAAGGUGUCCUUCUCAGAUCCCCAAGUUCCACUGGUAGUCUCAGGACUACAACCAAGGUGGAGCGGCCCCUACCUGGUCUUCAUGGCAACCCCAACAGCAGUCAAAGUUGCUGGACUGCCAUCCUGGUUCCACAUCACUCAUGCUAAGUGGUGCCCUCCCAACCCUGAAUCUAACAUCCUGAGUGGUCAUCUCAUCUUCUGUCCCUCACCUGUCUCCGUCUCACCAAGGCCUCACAGCUGCAACUCUCAGGCUAAGUCAUGUUUUGUUAUCCAAUUUGGUUCCUAAUUUCUUACAUUCUAUUAAUUAUCCUUUUUACAGCAGGACUCUUGACAGUCUUUCCUAAAGACUCCCACAUUGUGCGUAAGAUCGUCUUCGUGUUGUUCUAUGUGACAACCAUCUUAGUUCUCUCUACCCUCAGCUGUUUAGUCAAACCUGGGAUCCUUGAAGGCUUAGGCUCUUACCUCUCAUAGUGACACAGCCAUGGCCCUCCCCACCCCUCUUAUUCUUUCCAGCUCAACUCAUGGACCAGAGACAAGCCCUACCUACCUACACUCUUAACUUUUACCCUUUCAGAUGGGAAAAUAAUCACCUCUCAUAACUUCACUCCUCCUAACCCCACACUUCUUUUUCAGAAUUCUACCUCACCAUGGUAAGGAUUCUCCCUCACCUGGGUCCUUAAAUAUGACAGUGGCCUGCCUCCUCAUCGCACCUUGUCUCUUUGUUUUUCCAGUCUAACAUGUGGGCAUUCACCAAUGAUAAAGUUGUCCUGGCUGAAACACCUGGCGCCAGCUUCUGCGUGGGCAUCAACCGUCAUCCGGUCGACCCUCCUAAACUCCAAUAUGACACCACCCUUUCAGCAGGAAUCAUUUUUCUGCAUCCUACAAUUUUGAUCUGGAUAAUCUACCUCUUGGUGAGAGAAGAAUAUUUAAAUUCCAACUGUCAUUGGAUUGGAACCUGCCUAUCUCUUUGGAUCUAACAGUGUUUAUUUUAUAAAAUUGGGUGUUCUAACAUUAGGUGCAUAUAGAUUCAUAGUCAUCUUUUUAAUAAAUUGAUCCCUUUCUAGGCAUAA
Long non-coding RNA from Cavia porcellus (domestic guinea pig), 2593 nucleotides. RefSeq lists it as uncharacterized. The transcript has 3 exons. NCBI's taxonomy places the organism in Eukaryota, Metazoa, Chordata, Mammalia, Rodentia, Caviidae. The record is from RefSeq and is a predicted model, not a curated record.